AAAUUGAAGAGUUUGAUCAUGGCUCAGAUUGAACGCUGGCGGCAGGCCUAACACAUGCAAGUCGAACGGUAACAGGAAGCAGCUUGCUGCUUCGCUGACGAGUGGCGGACGGGUGAGUAAUGUCUGGGAAACUGCCUGAUGGAGGGGGAUAACUACUGGAAACGGUGGCUAAUACCGCAUAACGUCGCAAGACCAAAGAGGGGGACCUUCGGGCCUCUUGCCAUCAGAUGUGCCCAGAUGGGAUUAGCUGGUUGGUGAGGUAACGGCUCACCAAGGCGACGAUCCCUAGCUGGUCUGAGAGGAUGACCAGCCACACUG
Molecule: ribosomal RNA, 318 nt
Filed under: Salmonella enterica subsp. enterica
Lineage: Bacteria; Pseudomonadati; Pseudomonadota; Gammaproteobacteria; Enterobacterales; Enterobacteriaceae
Description: bacterial SSU rRNA
Rfam family: Bacterial small subunit ribosomal RNA
Source: RNAcentral